This 249-nucleotide ribosomal RNA is filed under the name uncultured prokaryote. RNAcentral's name for it is "partial 16S ribosomal RNA". It matches the Rfam family "Bacterial small subunit ribosomal RNA", at positions 524 to 772 of the family's 1533-position model. The record is from RNAcentral.
UACGGAGGAUGCGAGCGUUAUCCGGAUUUAUUGGGUUUAAAGGGUGCGUAGGCGGCCUUGUAAGUCAGCGGUGAAAUUUUGCAGCUUAACUGUAAAAGUGCCGUUGAUACUGUGAGGCUAGGAUUUGGUUGUAGUGUGCGGAAUGUGUCAUGUAGCGGUGAAAUGCAUAGAGAUGACACAGAACACCGAUAGCGAAGGCAGCUCACAAAGCUAUUACUGACGCUGAUGCACGAAAGCGUGGGGAUCAAA